AGGGCGCAGCUAAAAAAAAAAAAACCCGAAAAACAAAUCGAUCUAGUGGCUUCUCCCCUGCCGCUGCGCCUGGGCUAUUUUCUUGUUGACUGGGCCUCGGCCCGCCCCCGCCCCCUGUGGGAGCCCCCCUGGGCGCCCGAGGUCCAGGCUUUUGGUUUGGGCAGGUGGCAGAUGAGGUGGUUUUUACUGAGAGAGGGGAUGUUGGAGGAAGAGGCUUGUUCGAGAUUCUGUUCUCUGGUUCAGUGUGAGACGCCUGGAUGCGACCUGCUCCUGCCUGGAAAAUCUCAAGCCCCCAGGUUUUCAGUGCGCGCCUGAGGUGGCAGUUUAUAUAAAGGAAGCACUGGGACCUGUGGCCACACCCUUCAAGAAUAAAAAA
This 376-nucleotide long non-coding RNA is filed under the name Delphinapterus leucas (beluga whale). RNAcentral's name for it is "lncRNA (ENSDLEG00000017128.1)". The record is from RNAcentral. Lineage: Eukaryota; Metazoa; Chordata; Mammalia; Artiodactyla; Monodontidae.